Molecule: ribosomal RNA, 253 nt
Filed under: uncultured bacterium
Lineage: Bacteria
Description: partial 16S ribosomal RNA
Rfam family: Bacterial small subunit ribosomal RNA
Source: RNAcentral
UACGGGGGGGGCAAGCGUUGUUCGGAAUUACUGGGCGUAAAGGGCUCGUAGGUGGCCAACUAAGUCAGACGUGAAAUCCCCAGGCUCAACUUGGGAACUGCGUCUGAUACUGGAUGGCUUGAAUUCGGGAGAGGGAUGCAGAAUUCCAGGUGUAGCGGUGAAAUGCGUAGAUAUCUGGAGGAACACCGGUGGCGAAGGCGGCGUUCUGGACUGCAACUGACACUGAGGAACGAAAGCCAGGGGAGCAAACGGG